This 253-nucleotide ribosomal RNA is filed under the name uncultured bacterium. Its description in RNAcentral is "partial 16S ribosomal RNA". It matches the Rfam family "Bacterial small subunit ribosomal RNA", at positions 524 to 776 of the family's 1533-position model. The record is from RNAcentral.
GACGGAGGGUGCUAGCGUUGUUCGGAAUUACUGGGCGUAAAGGGCGCGUAGGCGGCCGUUUGCGUCGGAUGUGAAAGCCCGGGGCUCAACCCCGGAACGGCAUCCGAUACGGGACGGCUGGAGACCGGGAGAGGAGGGUGGAAUAGCCAGUGUAGAGGUGAAAUUCGUAGAUAUUAGCUAGAACACCAGUGGCGAAGGCGGCCAACUGGUCCGGUACUGACGCUGAGGUGCGAAAGCGUGGGGAGCAAACAGG